This 46-nucleotide non-coding RNA is filed under the name Pelobates cultripes (western spadefoot toad). It matches the Rfam family "Histone 3' UTR stem-loop". Rfam says of the family: The mRNAs of metazoan histone genes lack a poly-A tail. 3' end processing occurs at a site between a highly conserved stem-loop (modelled by this family) and a purine rich region around 20 nts downstream (the histone downstream element, or HDE). The record is from RNAcentral. Lineage: Eukaryota; Metazoa; Chordata; Amphibia; Anura; Pelobatidae.
CCAAAGGCUCUUUUCAGAGCCAUAAACCCUUAUCUUGUCAGUGAUC